This 477-nucleotide long non-coding RNA is filed under the name Medicago truncatula (barrel medic). RNAcentral's name for it is "lncRNA gene12009". The record is from RNAcentral. Lineage: Eukaryota; Viridiplantae; Streptophyta; Magnoliopsida; Fabales; Fabaceae.
CUAGGAUGAUUUGUCUAAGGGUUGAAAUUUGUUGCAGAGAGAGGGGUUCGUCAUUUGUCCACCGCGGGUUCUUCUUCGUUGGAAGGGGAUUGUAUACAUGCAUGUAUUCCGACGCUUAAGUGAGUGAGAGAUUAAAGGGAGUGAGACAAUUGUACGGGUGAAGAGUGAGAUUUUUUAUUUUUAUUUUUUUUGUUUUAGUAAAGAGAGAGGUAUCUGACCUUAUGCUAGCUGUGCUUUUAAAUUCAUAUAGAAUAAGUAAAAUUUUAGUUGUCAAGUCUUCACCUAAACAGAUAUCAUUAGAGACAUUUGUAUUAAUUUGAUAAGGAUUUUAACAUUGGUUCUGAACUGGACGGUCUAGAUUGAUGGGUUUGGACCUCUAUCUAAUGAGAUUUAAGGCAUGUCAAUAGCAUGAACUCACUCUUAAGUAAGUCCUCAUCGCCAAUCAUUAUGAUUAUUGCCUUAAUUUUUUUUAAAACC